RNAcentral lists this ribosomal RNA (486 nucleotides) under uncultured bacterium. RNAcentral describes it as "partial 16S ribosomal RNA". It matches the Rfam family "Bacterial small subunit ribosomal RNA", at positions 28 to 507 of the family's 1533-position model. The record is from RNAcentral.
GACGAACGCUGGCGGCGUGCUUAACACAUGCAAGUCGAACGCUGAAGACCUGGCUUUUGUUGGGUUGGAUGAGUGGCGAACGGGUGAGUAACACGUGAGUAACCUGCCCUCUUCUUUGGGAUAACGCCCGGAAACGGGUGCUAAUACUGGAUAUUCACUGAUCUUCGCAUGGGGGUUGGUGGAAAGGUUUGUUCUGGUGGGGGAUGGGCUCGCGGCCUAUCAGCUUGUUGGUGGGGUGAUGGCUUACCAAGGCUUUGACGGGUAGCCGGCCUGAGAGGGUGACCGGUCACAUUGGGACUGAGAUACGGCCCAGACUCCGACGGGAGGCAGCAGUGGGGAAUAUUGCACAAUGGGCGAAAGCCGGAUGCAGCGACGCCGCGUGAGGGAUGGAGGCCUUCGGGUUGUAAACCUCUUUCGCUCAUGGUCAAGCCGCAACUGUGGGUUGUGGUGAGGGUAGUGGGUAAAGAAGCGCCGGCUAACUACGUG